This 200-nucleotide ribosomal RNA is filed under the name uncultured bacterium. RNAcentral describes it as "partial 16S ribosomal RNA". It matches the Rfam family "Bacterial small subunit ribosomal RNA", at positions 1301 to 1500 of the family's 1533-position model. The record is from RNAcentral.
UAGUCUGCAACCCGACUACACGAAGCUGGAAUCGCUAGUAAUCGCGAAUCAGAAUGUCGCGGUGAAUACGUUCCCGGGUCUUGUACACACCGCCCGUCACACCAUGGGGAGUCGGGAAUGCCCGAAGUCAGUGACCCAACCUUUGGAGGGAGCUGCCGAAGGCAGGUCUGAUAACUGGGGUGAAGUCGUAACAAGGUAAC